CGGUGGGGGCGGGGGGGGGUCGUUACAAUCAGGACGCCCAUCUGGCCGGGCUUUGCUCUGGUGCCAGAAGCCAAGAGGCAGAAGUCAAGGUUAAACGCUGCGGCGGGGCUACGGCCCCCUUCGCCGGGCCCGACUCCCUGCAGGAGCCCCGCGCCGGCCUCGCCGCCCCACCUUGCCCUUUGUCUUUGCCGGAGCAGAUGUGCGGUGACCCCUGCUAGCAUCCGUGCUGUCAGGAUUAAAGAAGCCUCCACCCCAUUUAGCAACUGCAACUCUCGUCCCCCGACCCUCGCCAACCCACCGCUUGGGGAUGGGGGAGGUUGUUUGUUUGUUUUUGUUUUUUCUUUUUCUUUCUUUCUUUUUUUUUUUUUUUUGAGUUUUGGCAAUAAGUCAAAAGCAGUCAUCAUAAGGUGCACAAAGCCCUCGGUUCACAUUUAAAUUUGUGUGCCAAGUUGGCUG
RNAcentral lists this long non-coding RNA (456 nucleotides) under Rattus norvegicus (Norway rat). RNAcentral describes it as "long non-coding RNA NONRATT023041". The record is from RNAcentral. Lineage: Eukaryota; Metazoa; Chordata; Mammalia; Rodentia; Muridae.